GAAGCUUGCUCUUGGGUGGCGAGUGGCGAACGGGUGAGUAACAUAUCGGAACGUACCGGGCAUGGGGGAUAACUAAUCGAAAGAUUAGCUAAUACCGCAUAUUUUCUGAGGAAGAAAGCAGGGGACCAUUUGGCCUUGCGCUGUUUGAGCGGCCGAUAUCUGAUUAGCUAGUUGGUGGGGUAAAGGCCUACCAAGGCGACGAUCAGUAGCGGGUCUGAGAGGAUGAUCCGCCACACUGGGACUGAGACACGGCCCAGACUCCUACGGGAGGCAGCAGUGGGGAAUUUUGGACAAUGGGCGCAAGCCUGAUCCAGCCAUGCCGCGUGUCUGAAGAAGGCCUUCGGGUUGUAAAGGACUUCUGUCAGGGAAGAAAAGGGCGGGGUUAAUACCCCUGUCUGAUGACGGUACCUGAAGAAUAAGCACCGGCUAACUACGUG
This 437-nucleotide ribosomal RNA is filed under the name uncultured Neisseria sp. RNAcentral describes it as "bacterial SSU rRNA". It matches the Rfam family "Bacterial small subunit ribosomal RNA", at positions 75 to 507 of the family's 1533-position model. The record is from RNAcentral. Lineage: Bacteria; Pseudomonadati; Pseudomonadota; Betaproteobacteria; Neisseriales; Neisseriaceae.